UUUUAAAAAAAAGGAAAAGAGAAAAAACGAAGGUGAAAUUACUAGAAUCACCUGCUAGGAGCUAGGGUUUGUUACCACCCUAUAAAUAUAAGACGAGGCCGCAUUUGCACCGUGGAGGCGGCGGAAGACGAGAUAAAGAGAGAGUCGGCGGUGAAUUUUGAGCAAGCAUGAGGGCAAAGUGGAAGAAGAAGCGUAUGAGGAGACUGAAAAGGAAGCGCAGAAAGAUGAGACAGAGAUCUAAGUAGAGCAGCAGCAGGGGUCCAGAUGCCUACUGUGGUUUCUUGGUUGAAACUGCUGCUUUUUACAAUCGCUGUCCAUCUCUGUGGCAGCUCCAAAGAAUGGAGGUUGUCCGUUGUUUGAAGCUGUGCAUUAGUUAAUUUACUAUGUUCUAUGAAGGAGCUUAGUUUUAGUUUUAAGCAUUGGUAGUAAGAAUGUUGGUUUGUGUUUUCGUGGUAACUCACUAGUUUUGUCAACUAAGGAUAUAUGUGAGUGAUAUUGAAUGUUCUCUUUCAAGCUGACGUUAUUAAGAGGAUUUCUCUUUGUUUGGGGUUACAUUUCAUUUGAAUAAAUUUUGGCUUUGAACGUUAUUAC
Molecule: long non-coding RNA, 591 nt
Organism: Solanum pennellii
Lineage: Eukaryota; Viridiplantae; Streptophyta; Magnoliopsida; Solanales; Solanaceae
Exons: 2
Source: RefSeq, a predicted model, not a curated record